This 974-nucleotide ribosomal RNA is filed under the name Bacillus sp. (in: firmicutes). RNAcentral's name for it is "bacterial SSU rRNA". It matches the Rfam family "Bacterial small subunit ribosomal RNA", at positions 468 to 1443 of the family's 1533-position model. Lineage: Bacteria; Bacillati; Bacillota; Bacilli; Caryophanales; Bacillaceae. The record is from RNAcentral.
CUUGACGGUACCUAACCAGAAAGCACGGCUAACUACGUGCCAGCAGCCGCGGUAAUACGUAGGUGGCAAGCGGUAUCCGGAAUUAUUGGCGUAAAGCGCGCGCAGGUGGUUUCUUAAGUCUGAUGUGAAAGCCCACGGCUCAACCGUGGAGGGUCAUUGGAAACUGGGAGACUUGAGUGCAGAAGAGGAAAAGUGGAAUUCCAUGUGUAGCGGUGAAAUGCGUAGAGAUAUGGAGGAACACCAGUGGCGAAGGCGACUUUUUGGUCUGUAACUGACACUGAGGCGCGAAAGCGUGGGGAGCAAACAGGAUUAGAUACCCUGGUAGUUCACGCCGUAAACGAUGAGUGCUAAGUGUUAGAGGGUUUCCGCCCUUUAGUGCUGAAGUUAACGCAUUAAGCACUCCGCCUGGGGAGUACGGCCGCAAGGCUGAAACUCAAAGGAAUUGACGGGGGCCCGCACAAGCGGUGGAGCAUGUGGUUUAAUUUGAAGCAACGCGAAGAACCUUACCAGGUCUUGACAUCCUUUGACAACCCUAGAGAUAGGGCUUUUCCUUCGGGAGCAGAGUGACAGGUGGUGCAUGGUUGUCGUCAGCUCGUGUCGUGAGAUGUUGGGUUAAGUCCCGCAACGAGCGCAACCCUUGAUUUUAGUUGCCAUCAUUUAGUUGGGCACUUUAAGGUGACUGCCGGUGACAAACCGGAGGAAGGUGGGGAUGACGUCAAAUCAUCAUGCCCCUUAUGACCUGGGCUACACACGUGGUACAAUGGACGGUACAAAGAGCUGCAAGACCGCGAGGUGGAGCUAAUUUCAUAAAACCGUUUUCAGUUCGGAUUGUAGGGUGCAACUUGCCUACAUGAAGCUGGAAUCGCUAGUAAUCGCGGAUCAGCAUGCCGCGGUGAAUACGUUCCCGGGCCUUGUACACCCCGCCCGUCACACCCCGAGAGUUUGUAACACCCGAAGUCGGUGGGGUAACCUUU